Molecule: long non-coding RNA, 545 nt
Filed under: Helianthus annuus (common sunflower)
Lineage: Eukaryota; Viridiplantae; Streptophyta; Magnoliopsida; Asterales; Asteraceae
Source: RNAcentral
AAAAGAAAGAAAUGAUCAUGGAGAUCGUUUAAGGCUGACUUGGAUCAUUAUGAUUCUUUUCAACCAAAAUUAGAGAAGCAAAUAAGGAAUUGGAGGCUUUAAUCAACACUGUACAAGAUCAAGACCCUUUGGACUCUUGAUUGAUAACAAGGGAUACGAAUGUUUUAUGGAACUUGAAGACAUGAUUAACGAGUUAAGACCUACAAGGUGACGAGCUAUGAGGUGGUUGCCUAUGUCCCUCCCAAGAUAGACUAUGCAUGUUGUGGAAGCUUACGCCAAAUACCUUAGGGUAUACGGGGCACUCUCGGUGACCCCUACCGGUGACCCAAGUCCCCGCUCGGGAACACAGGCGCCAUCAACGCGGGGACCGAAUUCGGUAAUGCUGUGGAUAAGUAUCGUUGAAGGCUUUGGAUUUGAAGAUUAAGUGCUUGGGACGGACUACGAAUAUCACAUCAUGGAGAUGAGAUGUCAUUUUGUGUAGUAAUUGAUUAACGAACGUAAGGUUAUUAGAUUAUAUUUUUUAUAAAAGAUAAUGUUGAUGACGU